CCUAACUAUGGUGUAAUGUACAAUUGUGUGGUCAGCCUCCCAUCCCAGCAGAUUCAAAGGAGGAACUGAUGUCAAUUGCAGUGGCUGCCAGUUAUUGAACACUUUCUUCCUGACACUGUGUUCUUAUAUUACAUAGUUCAAUUUAUUCAGCUGUCCUGUGAGGUUCCUUGUCCUUAUCUCAUUGGUGAAAAAGAUUUUAAAGAAUUGAAUAACUCACCUAAGAUGAUAAAUGCCAACAUUUUGUUGGAUGCCGAGGCUUGUCUCUGACUUCAAUUUCUAAGUACCACCAGAUGUGUGAAGUAAGAAGAAUCCUAGAUGGAAGGAAAGCUGUGGAGAAAAGGACAGUGGUCAUCAGACAAAAUGGAACACAGUGAAAUGGUGGAAAAUGAUGCUGAAUCAGAGGACUGAUGAAGAAAGAGAUUCUUGAGUGUUCCAUGGAGAAGUACAGAAAAUUGAAAGGAUGCUCUUGAAAACAACACAGUACCUAUCACAAUGCAGAUGAAAUCCUGGAGAAACAGAGGAAGUUGCAGGCCUAGAUUCCAGUUGCUCAAUUCCUCAGCAUCUCCUUUACUCCUACCCACAAUGAAAACAAGAAAUCAUGAGAUCUGGGUAUAGUAGCACAGCAAGUCAAGCUUUCUCCUGUAGAGAAACAUAAAGCAUCAGCAACUCUGCUUGGUCCUGAGGAGAGUCAGAGCACCAAAAAUAGUCGACGAAUAAGCUGAAGUUCUGACUUUCCCUGGAAUAAAAGAAGACAUAGGCUUCCCUCUCCUCUGGGGACUUAUGAGCAUAAGGAAAAUUGUUCGGUCAGGAGGAUGCUCUCCAGACAGAAUGCAAAGA
This is a long non-coding RNA of Peromyscus eremicus (cactus mouse), 837 nucleotides long. RefSeq lists it as uncharacterized. NCBI's taxonomy places the organism in Eukaryota, Metazoa, Chordata, Mammalia, Rodentia, Cricetidae. The record is from RefSeq and is a predicted model, not a curated record. The transcript has 4 exons.